Non-coding RNA from Lupinus angustifolius (narrow-leaved blue lupine), 305 nucleotides. NCBI's taxonomy places the organism in Eukaryota, Viridiplantae, Streptophyta, Magnoliopsida, Fabales, Fabaceae. The record is from Rfam.
GCCGAGCUUGGUAACUCUUGCUUGUGACCCAAGUGGGGGGAUCAAAGUGAUGGAACAUGACUAUGGUUUGUCUAGGUUGGGUUGGUGUAUGCUCCAUGUUAGCUUGCCCAUUCCAAGUUGAGAGUUGAGUCAUGGUGCUUGAGUGAAGGCUUGAGUGUCAUGACUCGUAGACAAGAGGGCAAAGCGUGAGGCUGGAUUCACAGAGCAGCGAACACUUCUGGCUCCUGACAGUGGAGGGAUCACAGGCUGCUGCAUUACCCAUCUCACAAUGCCUAGUGAGCCGAGCCACCUGAACCAUCACUUUU